GGUGGUGUGGCCGAGGGGUUAGGCAGCGCUCUGCAAAAGCGUGUACAUCGGUUCAAGUCCGGUCACCACCUCCA
RNAcentral lists this transfer RNA (74 nucleotides) under Oligoflexia bacterium. RNAcentral describes it as "tRNA-Cys". It matches the Rfam family "tRNA". Rfam says of the family: Transfer RNA (tRNA) molecules are approximately 80 nucleotides in length. Their secondary structure includes four short double-helical elements and three loops (D, anti-codon, and T loops). The record is from RNAcentral. Lineage: Bacteria; Pseudomonadati; Bdellovibrionota; Oligoflexia.